UGCCUAAUACAUGCAAGUYGAGCGGACUGAUGGGAGCUUGCUCCCUGAAGUCAGCGGCGGACGGGUGAGUAACACGUGGGUAACCUGCCUGUAAGACUGGGAUAACUCCGGGAAACCGGGGCUAAUACCGGAUAGUUCUUUUCCUCGCAUGAGGAAAAGUGGAAAGGCGGCUUCGGCUGCCACUUACAGAUGGACCCGCGGCGCAUUAGCUAGUUGGUGAGGUAACGGCUCACCAAGGCAACGAUGCGUAGCCGACCUGAGAGGGKGRUCGGCCACACUGGGACUGANACACGGCCCAAACUCCUACGGGAGGSAGCAGUAGGGAAUCUUCCGCAAUGGACGAAAGUCUGACSGAGCAACGCCSCGUGAGUGAUGAAGGUUUUCGGAUCGUAAAGCUCUGUUGUUAGGGAAAAACAAGUGCCGUUCGAAUAGGGCGGCNCCUUGACGGUACCUAACCAGAAAGCCACGGCUAACUACGUGCCAGCMGCCGCGGUAAUACGUAGGUGGCAAGCGUUGUCCGGAAUUAUUGGGCSUAAAGCGCGCGCAGGCGGUCUCUUAAGUCUGAUGUGAAAGCCCACGGCUCAACCGUGGAGGGUCAUUGGAAACUGGGGGGACUUGAGUACAGAAGAGGAAAGUGGAAUUCCACGUGUAGCGGUGAAAUGCGUAGAUAUGUGGA
RNAcentral lists this ribosomal RNA (676 nucleotides) under Bacillus sp. SP05. Its description in RNAcentral is "bacterial SSU rRNA". It matches the Rfam family "Bacterial small subunit ribosomal RNA", at positions 45 to 702 of the family's 1533-position model. The record is from RNAcentral. Lineage: Bacteria; Bacillati; Bacillota; Bacilli; Caryophanales; Bacillaceae.